UGCCAGCAGCCGGGUAAUACGGAGGGUGCGAGCGUUAUCCGGAAUCACUGGGCGUAAAGGGCACGUAGGCGGUCUUGUAAGUCCGAUGUUAAAGAGUGGGGCUCAACCCCAUCACGGCGUUGGAUACUGUAAGGCUUGACGACUGGAGAGGAAAGUAGAAUUACCAGUGUAGCGGUGAAAUGCGUAGAUACUGGUAGGAAUACCCAUUGCGAAGGCAGCUUUCUGGACAGUUUGUGACGCUGAGGUGCGAAAGUGUGGGGAGCAAACCGGAUUAGAUA
RNAcentral lists this ribosomal RNA (278 nucleotides) under uncultured bacterium. Its description in RNAcentral is "partial 16S ribosomal RNA". It matches the Rfam family "Bacterial small subunit ribosomal RNA", at positions 506 to 784 of the family's 1533-position model. The record is from RNAcentral.